This 429-nucleotide ribosomal RNA is filed under the name Chloroflexota bacterium. RNAcentral describes it as "Chloroflexi bacterium partial 16S ribosomal RNA". It matches the Rfam family "Bacterial small subunit ribosomal RNA", at positions 355 to 776 of the family's 1533-position model. Lineage: Bacteria; Bacillati; Chloroflexota. The record is from RNAcentral.
UGGGGAAUAUUGCACAAUGGGCGCAAGCCUGAUGCAGCCAUGCCGCGUGUAUGAAGAAGGCCUUCGGGUUGUAAAGUACUCUCAGUCGGGAGGAAGGUGGUAAGGUUAAUAACCUUAUCAAUUGACGUUACCGACAGAAGAAGCACCGGCUAACUCCGUGCCAGCAGCCGCGGUAAUACGGAGGGUGCAAGCGUUAAUCGGAAUUACUGGGCGUAAAGCGCACGCAGGCGGUUGAUUGAGUCAGAUGUGAAAUCCCCGGGCUUAACCCGGGAAUUGCAUCUGAUACUGGUCAGCUAGAGUCUUGUAGAGGGGGGUAGAAUUCCAUGUGUAGCGGUGAAAUGCGUAGGGAUGUGGAGGAAUACCGGUGGCGAAGGCGGCCCCCUGGACAAAGACUGACGCUCAGGUGCGAAAGCGUGGGGAGCAAACAGG